AUCACUUCUCGGCCUUUUGGCUAAGAUCAAGUGUAAAAUCACCUUUGGAGAGUGUUUAAAACAAACUCCAGGGCCUCUAGAGGUCCUCAUUCAGUAGGUUUGGGGCAGGGAGAGCCUUGACAUGUUAAAUGAGCCUUGGGGUGAUUCUGAUGUUUCCUUGCACCAGUGGAGCAGGAGUUACUCUUCA
Molecule: small nuclear RNA, 187 nt
Filed under: Saimiri boliviensis boliviensis (Bolivian squirrel monkey)
Lineage: Eukaryota; Metazoa; Chordata; Mammalia; Primates; Cebidae
Description: U2 spliceosomal RNA (ENSSBOG00000009466.1)
Rfam family: U2 spliceosomal RNA
About the family: U2 is a small nuclear RNA (snRNA) component of the spliceosome (involved in pre-mRNA splicing). Complementary binding between U2 snRNA (in an area lying towards the 5' end but 3' to hairpin I) and the branchpoint sequence (BPS) of the intron results the bulging out of an unpaired adenosine, on the BPS, which initiates a nucleophilic attack at the intronic 5' splice site, thus starting the first of two transesterification reactions that mediate splicing.
Source: Rfam by way of RNAcentral